RNAcentral lists this ribosomal RNA (160 nucleotides) under uncultured bacterium. RNAcentral's name for it is "partial 16S ribosomal RNA". It matches the Rfam family "Bacterial small subunit ribosomal RNA", at positions 357 to 509 of the family's 1533-position model. The record is from RNAcentral.
GGGAAUUUUGGACAAUGGGCGCAAGCCUGAUCCAGCAAUGCCGCGUGCAGGAAGAAGGCCUUCGGGUUGUAAACUGCUUUUGUACGGAACGAAAAGGCUCUGGUUAAUACCUGGGGCUCAUGACGGUACCGUAAGAAUAAGCACCGGCUAACUACGUGCC